Anthonomus grandis grandis is the source of this 512-nucleotide long non-coding RNA. RefSeq lists it as uncharacterized. The transcript has 3 exons. The record is from RefSeq and is a predicted model, not a curated record. NCBI's taxonomy places the organism in Eukaryota, Metazoa, Arthropoda, Insecta, Coleoptera, Curculionidae.
GCGGGCUUGAAUUACUUAUAGGUAUUUCAGAAGUAAAUUUUAUUUAUUUAUUUAAUUGUAUGCAUAUUUUAUACCUGUUUGCAAAACUUUGUUAAAAUGCAUCGAAUGUACUAAUAUUGAACGAAUUUCAUACUAAAAGGCGCAUUCAUUUUGAUACCAUAACCUAAAAAAGUAAACUCAGUGCAAUUUGCUGCAGCAAUUCCUUAUAACUGACUGUUAUAUAUUUAAUCAUUUAUAUAUUCAGGUCUCGACUGAUAGCUCUCUACAGUUACGCAGAACAAAGCCCAGAAGCCUGGAGGAUCUAACCACUAUAUUAUUCAUGUGUAUAUUAAAAUUUAAAUGAUCGUCAAAAUAAAUGCCAAGAUCCUUAAUUGUAUCAGAAUACUGAACAGGGCUUCCCUCUAUAUUAAUAAGAUAUUGUUGACACACCAAUCAUUUAGCCUAUUCAGGUCAUUCUGUAACAAAAUUUGGUCUUUGGGAGUCUGGAUUACUCUAUAAAAUUUCAGGUCAUC